GAUGAACGCUGGCGGCGUGCUUAACACAUGCAAGUCGAACGAGAAUCAACGGAUUGAGGAUUCGUCCAAAUGAAGUUGAGGAAAGUGGCGGACGGGUGAGUAACGCGUGAGGAACCUGCCUCGGAGUGGGGAAUAACAGUUGGAAACAGCUGCUAAUACCGCAUAAUGCAACGAAAUCGCAUGACUUUGUUGCCAAAGAUUUAUCGCUCUGAGAUGGCCUCGCGUCUGAUUAGCUAGUUGGCGGGGUAACGGCCCACCAAGGCGACGAUCGGUAGCCGGACUGAGAGGUUGAACGGCCACAUUGGGACUGAGACACGGCCCAG
This 323-nucleotide ribosomal RNA is filed under the name uncultured bacterium. RNAcentral's name for it is "bacterial SSU rRNA". It matches the Rfam family "Bacterial small subunit ribosomal RNA", at positions 28 to 334 of the family's 1533-position model. The record is from RNAcentral.